RNAcentral lists this ribosomal RNA (382 nucleotides) under uncultured eukaryote. Its description in RNAcentral is "partial 18S ribosomal RNA". It matches the Rfam family "Eukaryotic small subunit ribosomal RNA", at positions 592 to 975 of the family's 1831-position model. The record is from RNAcentral.
CAAUAGCGUAUAUUAAAGUUGUUGCAGUUAAAAAGCUCGUAGUUGGAUUUCUGGUGGGAGCGAUCGGUCUGGCGCUUAGCGCGAGUACUUGCAUCGUCUCCGGCCAUCCUUGGGGAGAGUCUGUCUGGCAUUAAGUUGUCGGGCAGAGGAUCCUCAUCGUUUACUGUGAAAAAAUUAGAGUGUUCAAAGCAGGCUUACGCCGUUGAAUAUAUUAGCAUGGAAUAAUAAGAUAGGACUUUGGUACUAUUUUGUUGGUUUGCGCACCAAAGUAAUGAUUAAUAGGGACAGUUGGGGGUAUUCGUAUUCCGUUGUCAGAGGUGAAAUUCUUGGAUUUACGGAAGACGAACUACUGCGAAAGCAUUUACCAAGGAUGUUUUCAUUA